RNAcentral lists this ribosomal RNA (275 nucleotides) under uncultured bacterium. Its description in RNAcentral is "partial 16S ribosomal RNA". It matches the Rfam family "Bacterial small subunit ribosomal RNA", at positions 338 to 630 of the family's 1533-position model. The record is from RNAcentral.
CCUACGGGUGGCUGCAGUGGGGAAUCUUGCACAAUGGGGGAAACCCUGAUGCAGCGACGCCGCGUGAGUGAUGACGCCCUUCGGGGUGUAAAGCUCUUUCGGCCCGAACGAUAAUGACGGUACGGGAAGAAGAAGCUGCGGCUAACUACGUGCCAGCAGCCGCGGUAAUACGUAGGCAGCGAGCGUUGUUCGGAGUUACUGGGCGUAAAGCGUGCGUAGGCGGUCUCAUAAGUCUGUUGUGAAAUCUCCCGGCUCAACUGGGAGGGUGCGGUGGA